Molecule: long non-coding RNA, 566 nt
Organism: Musa acuminata AAA Group (dessert banana)
Lineage: Eukaryota; Viridiplantae; Streptophyta; Magnoliopsida; Zingiberales; Musaceae
Exons: 2
Source: RefSeq, a predicted model, not a curated record
CUCUCUCUCUCUCUCUCUCUCUCUCCUUCUCUGUCUCUGUCGCUGUCCCUGUGCUGCUGCGACGCAGAGCUCGGCAAUGGGCGUUCUGCGCCACCGCCGGCUCUCUGCUGCCUUAGCCGUCUUCAUCUUCGCGGCUGUUCUUGGGAGCGCAUUGGUGGGAAUCGCGCAGGAAAUGGGAGACGCAAGGCUUCGACCUCGGGAACGGGAGCGAGUGGUGGCUCGGAGGCUCCUCCUCGGCCUCGGGUCGUCGCCGCCGACAUGCCGGGCUCGUUGCGGCCGCUGCUUCCCCUGUCGGCCGGUCCACGUGGCCAUCCAUCCUGGCCGGAACCUCCCGCUCGAGUACUACCCGGAGGCAUGGCGAUGCAAAUGCGGCAACAACAUCUUCAUGCCCUGAGACCAACGACAGAAUCCCAGAAGGAGAAAUGGAGAAUGACAAAAAGCCACUGGCUUCCACCAUUGAUGAGUUCUCUGUAACAUUUUGUGGACAUCUAAGCGUACGCGAUGCGAAUCUGCCAUGCUCGGCCUUCUUUGCGGCAAUCGGUUAUAUAGUUUAUUAGACGUUAUAA